Molecule: ribosomal RNA, 253 nt
Filed under: uncultured bacterium
Lineage: Bacteria
Description: partial 16S ribosomal RNA
Rfam family: Bacterial small subunit ribosomal RNA
Source: RNAcentral
UACGUAGGGUGCAAGCGUUGUCCGGAAUUAUUGGGCGUAAAGAGCUCGUAGGUGGCCUGUCGCGUCGGCUGUGAAAACUCGGGGCUCAACUCCGAGCUUGCAGUCGAUACGGGCAGGCUAGAGUUCGGCAGGGGAGACUGGAAUUCCUGGUGUAGCGGUGAAAUGCGCAGAUAUCAGGAGGAACACCGGUGGCGAAGGCGGCUCUCUGGACCACAACUGACGCUGAGGCGCGAAAGCUAGGGGAGCAAACAGG